This 357-nucleotide transfer-messenger RNA is filed under the name Desulfobulbaceae. RNAcentral's name for it is "Electronema sp004284765 Standard tmRNA". It matches the Rfam family "transfer-messenger RNA". Rfam says of the family: Bacterial tmRNA, also known as 10Sa RNA or SsrA, is named for its dual tRNA and mRNA-like properties. Its role is to liberate the mRNA from a stalled ribosome. The record is from RNAcentral. Lineage: Bacteria; Pseudomonadati; Thermodesulfobacteriota; Desulfobulbia; Desulfobulbales. RNAcentral also lists the same sequence under 1 other name.
GGGGGUGAAACGGAUUCGACGGGGAUAUACAAGCUCAUCGUUGCAUGCCGAGCCUUCUGUCAGCUCGUAAAAACGGCGGAACUUAAAUAUAAUCGCAGACGAUUAUAACUACGCAUUAGCAGCUUAGUCUGCUGUGCCGCUUUCCCAGCCCGCGCCCGUAAAGCUGGAGCAAAGCGUCGACUCUUCGGGAUAGUCAUCGGGAGUAUCUGCGGCCCCUUGGCGAGAUCAAGCAGGUCGGCUUUCAGCAAUCCUCUGUUCCAAGUGAGAGCUGAAGGCGGGAUUUAACUUGGAACUAAGCAUGUAGAGACGAGAGGGGAGUAUUUUCGGACCCGGGUUCAACUCCCGGCACCUCCACCA